RNAcentral lists this ribosomal RNA (494 nucleotides) under uncultured bacterium. RNAcentral's name for it is "partial 16S ribosomal RNA". It matches the Rfam family "Bacterial small subunit ribosomal RNA", at positions 28 to 507 of the family's 1533-position model. The record is from RNAcentral.
GACGAACGCUGGCGGCGUGCUUAACACAUGCAAGUCGAACGGUGAAGCGCCUUCCUUUUUGGUGGGUGUGGAUGAGUGGCGAACGGGUGAGUAACACGUGAGUAACCUGCCCCCUUCUUCUGGAUAUCCGCAUGAAAGUGUGGCUAAUACGGGAUAUUCUGGGUCUGUCGCAUGAUGGGUCUGGGAAAGAUAUUGUUUCGGUGGGGGAUGGGCUCGCGGCCUAUCAGCUUGUUGGUGGGGUGAUGGCCUACCAAGGCGGUGACGGGUAGCCGGCCUGAGAGGGUGGGCGGUCACACUGGGACUGAGACACGGACCAGACUCCGACGGGAGGCAGCAGGGGAGAAUAUGGCACAAUGGGCGCAAGGCUGAUGCAGCGACGCCGGGUGGGGGAUGGAGGCCUUCGGGUUGUGAACCUCUUUCGGCAGUGAAGCAGGCCUGCCUCGUUUGUGGGUGGGUUGACGGUAGCUGGAUAAGAAGCGCCGGCUAACUACGUG